Molecule: ribosomal RNA, 540 nt
Filed under: Fusarium equiseti
Lineage: Eukaryota; Fungi; Ascomycota; Sordariomycetes; Hypocreales; Nectriaceae
Description: eukaryotic LSU rRNA
Rfam family: 5.8S ribosomal RNA (bases 201-354)
Source: RNAcentral
AAGUAAAAGUCGUAACAAGGUCUCCGUUGGUGAACCAGCGGAGGGAUCAUUACCGAGUUUACAACUCCCAAACCCCUGUGAACAUACCUAUACGUUGCCUCGGCGGAUCAGCCCGCGCCCUGUAAAAAGGGACGGCCCGCCCGAGGACCCUAAACUCUGUUUUUAGUGGAACUUCUGAGUAAAACAAACAAAUAAAUCAAAACUUUCAACAACGGAUCUCUUGGUUCUGGCAUCGAUGAAGAACGCAGCAAAAUGCGAUAAGUAAUGUGAAUUGCAGAAUUCAGUGAAUCAUCGAAUCUUUGAACGCACAUUGCGCCCGCCAGUAUUCUGGCGGGCAUGCCUGUUCGAGCGUCAUUUCAACCCUCAAGCUCAGCUUGGUGUUGGGACUCGCGGUAACCCGCGUUCCCCAAAUCGAUUGGCGGUCACGUCGAGCUUCCAUAGCGUAGUAAUCAUACACCUCGUUACUGGUAAUCGUCGCGGCCACGCCGUAAAACCCCAACUUCUGAAUGUUGACCUCGGAUCAGGUAGGAAUACCCGCUG